This 523-nucleotide ribosomal RNA is filed under the name uncultured bacterium. Its description in RNAcentral is "bacterial SSU rRNA". It matches the Rfam family "Bacterial small subunit ribosomal RNA", at positions 33 to 541 of the family's 1533-position model. The record is from RNAcentral.
GAUGAACGCUGGCGGCGUGCUUAACACAUGCAAGUCGAACGGUGAAGGCGGAGCUUGCUCUGCUGGAUCAGUGGCGAACGGGUGAGUAACACGUGAGCAAUCUGCCCCUGACUCUGGGAUAAGCGCUGGAAACGGCGUCUAAUACUGGAUACGAGCUUCCACCGCAUGGUGAGUUGUUGGAAAGAUUUUUCGGUCAGGGAUGAGCUCGCGGCCUAUCAGCUUGUUGGUGAGGUAAUGGCUCACCAAGGCGUCGACGGGUAGCCGGCCUGAGAGGGUGACCGGCCACACUGGGACUGAGACACGGCCCAGACUCCUACGGGAGGCAGCAGUGGGGAAUAUUGCACAAUGGGCGCAAGCCUGAUGCAGCAACGCCGCGUGAGGGACGACGGGCCCUUCGGGUUGUAAACCGUACUUUUACGUCCUAGGGAAGGAAGGACGAAAGGUACGUACGGUAACCCGUUGACGACGAAAAAAGACCGGACCGGGACCGUAACGUAACCGUGGCCAACGGCAACGACCGACC